RNAcentral lists this long non-coding RNA (867 nucleotides) under Heterocephalus glaber (naked mole-rat). RNAcentral describes it as "lncRNA (ENSHGLG00100040893.1)". The record is from RNAcentral. Lineage: Eukaryota; Metazoa; Chordata; Mammalia; Rodentia; Bathyergidae.
GCACUUCUACUCCAGUUUAUUGUACUGAACUUCAGCCAAGCAAGGCCCCUAAACCAGGCCAGAUACAGAGGCCAACACCAAGGCCGUCUCUGCCAUGGCGGGUAUAAAAUCGAAACAGUAAAAAUUCAUUCAAGCCUGGGGUGGUGGCACACACCUGUAAUCUCAGAGCUCUGGAGGCAGAGGCAGGAGGAUCGCCUUGAGUUCAAGGCCAGCCUGGGCUACAUAGCGAGACGCUGUCUCAGAAAACAAAAAACAAACAAAAAAACAGGGCAAAAAGAUAAGAUAUUAGAUUUAAGAGGGGCUUUAAUGCAGGGCAGACAGGGAAGGGGUUUGGAGUGGAGACUUCAGGAAGGAAGACAGGCAGUCAGUGAGGUUUGUGACACACCCAAAGUUCCAAAUGGUGAUGAAAGAACAAUGGAUUUUGUGCAAGAAGUGGCUUCGUCCAAUUGUCCAAUUUUCAUCUUGUUUGUUGGUUUGUUUGUUUGAGACAGGGUCUCUCCAGGUAUCUCAGGCUGUCCUCGAACUCAUGGCGAUCCUCCUGCCUCAGCCUCUGGAAUGCUGGGAUUACAGCGCAGGGCAGACCCGGGUGGAACACCGGACGAGGGACUGUAUCCUGGGGACAGAGCCACGGGAGAGGCCGAAGAGAAGACCCGAGCUUCCUGGUUGCCACGGAUUGAGCAUCUUUCCUCUGCCAUUUCCUCCUACCACGCCACGCCUGCCUUAGAAACAGCCACCUAUGGACUGAAUCCAUAAAAUGUGAACCAGAACAGACCUCUCCUUCUUGUUUGUUUUUGGUACCGGAGAUCGAACUCAGGACGUCACGCUUAGGAGGCAGGUGGUGGAAGCACUGAGCUAAAUCCCCAGCCC